GCGUGCAUGAGACAUGCAAGUCGAACGGACACUUGGGGCUUGCUCCAAGUGUUAGUGGCGGACGGCUGAGUAACGCGUAGGUGACCUGUCCCGAAGUGGGGAAUAACUGCCUGAAAGGGUGGCUAAUACCGCAUGUGGUGGUGUGUUCAUUCACACCAGUAAAGCCGCAAGGCGCUUCGGGAGGGGCCUGCGUCCGAUUAGCUCGUUGGUGGGGUAACGGCUCACCAAGGCGACGAUCGGUAGGUGGUCUGAGAGGACGAUCACCCAGACUGGGACUGAGACACGGCCAGACUCCUACGGGAGGCAGCAGUCGGGAAUUUUGCGCAAUGGACGAAAGUCUGACGCAGCAACGCCGCGUGAGGGAUGAAAGCCUUCGGGUUGUAAACCUCUUUUAUCAGGGAAGAUAAUGACGGUACCUGAUGAAUAAGUUACGGUUACUACGUGCCAGCAGCCCGCGGUAAUACGUAGGUGACAAGCGUUGUCCGAAUUACUGGGCGUAAAG
This 502-nucleotide ribosomal RNA is filed under the name uncultured earthworm cast bacterium. Its description in RNAcentral is "bacterial SSU rRNA". It matches the Rfam family "Bacterial small subunit ribosomal RNA", at positions 42 to 565 of the family's 1533-position model. The record is from RNAcentral.